CGAUCAGCUGCAUGAUGGGGUCGCGGUGUUUUGGCGAGUGCUGCGGCUUCUUAGGCCAGUGAUGUCACAUUCAUCGGUCCCAUGGUCUAAGGCUACUUUCACAUUUCCAUUUUUUGCUGGAUCCGGCAGGGAUCAUCAAAAACUCUUCCGUUACGGACGAUACAACCGUCUG
Long non-coding RNA from Bufo bufo (common toad), 172 nucleotides. RefSeq lists it as uncharacterized. The record is from RefSeq and is a predicted model, not a curated record. NCBI's taxonomy places the organism in Eukaryota, Metazoa, Chordata, Amphibia, Anura, Bufonidae. The transcript is spliced from 3 exons.